Molecule: long non-coding RNA, 9555 nt
Organism: Acinonyx jubatus (cheetah)
Lineage: Eukaryota; Metazoa; Chordata; Mammalia; Carnivora; Felidae
Exons: 5
Source: RefSeq, a predicted model, not a curated record
CUUCUGAAUCAUUGCUAGAGUUGAAAAGACCUCCCUCUUUGGCCAACUAUGCUUUGAGAGGAAAACUUGCUGGAAAACAUUAGAACCACACACUGGUAGUUUAUUUACCCAAUGCUAAACCGCUUGUUUGACAUUUUACUCUAAACUGACCAAUGAUUUGAGUAUUGUGUAGACAACCACAGAGAACAACUAAAACAGUGGGAAAGUAUUAUUUUAGAAGUACUUACUGUUUUAUUAACACUUAGAGGGGAGAAUUCCCUGCUUCUACUCAGAUUCGGUUCUUCAUGUUCCAAUGUGAAGUAGGUUGCCCAAUUGUCAAAUUUGUCAAUAUAGUUUUUAGUCCUGCAGCCCAUCAUUAGAUGACAGAAAAACAUCAUGUUGUGGCAAAGAAUCAGUAGGUAGUAAUCAAAUGUCCCAUGAUGUUGACAUUUCCCAACCCUCCAUAGAUUUUUUUUUUUAAAGGGAGAAUCCUAGAAGUAUCAGUGGACAGACUAGCAGGCCUGUGAAGGACCAGCUCUCUGGAGAUAAUGACACAUUUUGUCCUGAUAAUCUUCAGAUGUUAAUACCUUAAAAGUUACUCAGUUGAAGUUGCUUUCAAAUUAAACACCAUUGCUAUAGUGUUUCUGUUGUGAUUGUCGGAGGGAAGUGGAGCCAGUGCAAUUUGUCCGUGUUUUACAAAUCACCAUCUGGCAGGGAUAUGGCAACAUGUGAAAUCUUCACAGGACUCUUGUUUUUCUACUAUCUGCUGGAUAACUAAGGAGAUCACCAGACUGCUGGGAUGCCUGCCAGAUGGUAAGCAGGGAGAGAGACAGACAGCGAGCAGGGGAGAGGCGGAGAGAGAGAGAGGGAGACACAGAAUAAAAAGCAGGCUCCAGGCUCAGAGCUGUCAGCACAGAGCCCGAUGCAGGGCUUGAACCCAUGAACCACGACAUCGUGACCUGAGCCGAAGUCGGAGGCUCAACCGACUGAGCCACCCAGGCGCCCCAGGUUUUCCUAUUUUAUACCAUGUAAGACUUAAAUGGAAAAUGAAAAAUACAGUUGUUGAACUAUUCUUUCAACAGGCAAGAGUGUCCGUUAAAAAUCCCAUCCUUUCACAUCAGAGGGCUCUGAUCUGAGUCUACUGUACUGCAGAAGAAAUGGGGGAGAAAAAAGGCUUUAAUUUAUAAAGUGGUUGCUGUAAAACUGUAGACAGAUACAUAGGAGAGAGAGCCAUAAUCCAAAGCAGCCCACCUGAAUUUGAGAAACUUUUUUUUUACUAUUUUAAUUAAGAAAAUUAUACUUUAAAAGGUAUGGCGGAAACCACAAUUAAGAAAGAAAAAAAAAUGGUUGAAAUAAGCAAAUUCAAAGUUUGAAUGUUCCUCAGCUAAAAUCAAACUGAAAGAAAUCACAAGCUCUCAUGGCUUGAGUUUUGUUUGUUUGUUUGUUUGACUUUUGCUAGACUGUUUAAUUCGUGAAUAUUUUUCAAAGGAGCCGAGGAGGCCAAAAUAAAAUUACACUAAUGUACAAUUCAGUACAAAGGAAAUACUCAGAAUGCACAAAUGCCCGCACACAAAGGCAAGAUACUACUUCCUUUUACAUAUAUGUCAGAUAUACUUUAGCAAAUCAAAAGAAAUGAAGAUAACAAGGGGAGAGGAAAAUAUGGAGAUAGCUGAUAAUUAGAUGUGGAUUAAGGCAGUAAGGAAAGUGGGGACAAAGAUUACUGCAACUGGAAAACGCAAAUGGUCCUUUCUCCCCAAUGGUUGCAUUUAAAUCCAACUUCUAGAGUGUGGGAGUGUUUAGGGUUUUUUUGUGCCUUUUUUUUUGCCUUUUUUUUUAUAGCCCUUCUCCAACAUGUGUGGCAUCUAGCAUCUGGGUUUGGGUGGCUUAUUAUUAUCUUUCUAAACAUAUAGUUUGAUAUUCCUUUAAUUAAAUGGUGACCAUCACCCAAAACAACUUUUCUGGAGAAGGACCUUGCAAACCCACAAAACCCAGGAAUGGGUUUGUUGAACCUGCAGGCAGUUUUGUUUAAGUGAGCAUUAAAGACUUGGCAAGCCCUCUGUGUUCUCAUUUUCUUAUUCUCUAUUAUCUAUCCACUUAAUAAUUUCUGAAACCUUAAUCAGACUCUAACCAAAAAAAUCCACACAGUGCUUGGGAUAGAAUGAUAAUACCAUCUGUUUUCAUUCUUAUGUGGGUUCUUUCCAGCCGUACAAUCCAGCAUGCUGGCUGCUUACUUUAUAAUGAUCCUAACAUUAUAGGUGAUUUAAAGUAAAGUCUCCUGUGUCAUUUGCCUCUUGCAAAUGCACACAAUCUUUUCAAUUCACAAAAGUCUGGCAUAUUUUCCUAUAAAUGUUGGUUGCAUUUGAAUUCUGUAGAUAAAUAGGAUCAAUCCCAACACUUUUACAAAAAGAAAAAAAUCCAGAGCUAUUUCUUGCUUUUUUGGGUAAUGGCUGGUAAGACGGAAAGUUCUUCUAAAAGAAUUUAUUUGCCAUUUGACUUCUAAUUCUCUUAAAGUCUAGAUGGCAAUUUUAAAAAUAAAAUAGCUAAGCCAUCCCUAAACAUAGAACUAACUUACUGAGCACCUUUAUACAAUGACUUUUCAAAUGUGCAGCCUUUACCAUGUUCAUUAAGAAUUAGAUUCCAGCAUCAUUAUUAAAGGAUAAUAAAUAGAGAUGCUGGUAUCGUUUCCUUCUAGUCGUGGCAACAAGUAAGAAUUCAGAGCAAAGGUCAAAUGCUUUUAAACUCUUUGGUACAGGAAAAAUCAGCCAACGAUAUGGAAAAAUACACUCCAAAUAAUUCAUUUUUGCAGAUUUUAACAAUCAAUAUGGAGCACCAUAUGAUAGAUAUAGCUCCAACAAUCUGUAUCAAUCAUGAAGAUUGGCAGUGGCAAACCACACAGACCAAUUUUUGUCAUGCUACCACAGUCGAUUUUACAGACUCUGUGUAACCAAGACUUUCUCUGGUGCUUUCCCUGACACACCACACAGCCCCUUCCAAGAUCUGCUUCCAACACAUUCAAGGGCUUUUCUGAACCAAACCUCACUGAAAACCUUUGGAGACUGGCACACAAUUCUUACGAUACUCCAUGUUUUCCUUCCAAAGCCUGCAUCUUUAAUACAUUAUAUUGGGUUUUUCCCAUCACACAUUUAAUGUGUGAAAUUUCUAAACUCUUCCCCUUCACUUAUCUAAAUUGAACUUUGGCAGCCAACAGUUAACUGUUGGAGACUUGCUUCAAAACGAUCAAACCCUUUUCUAGAUCUGAUUGCAAGAAGUCUCAGUGCCAAGAUAGAAAUUUCAGUCUUCAUCAUACACAAAAUCAGUAUGUAUGCUUUGCUCUGGAAAGAAAGCCACCUUGAAAAUAAUUAAUAAAACAUCAAAGCUACAUACUACUUCAAAAAUCCACAUGAGACUGAAACAUUCGAGGCAAUUAAAAAAAUUAUUAAUUUAUAUAAGGUGGUACUUUUCUUUGUGUGUGUGUGUGUGUGUGUGUGUGUGUGUGUGUGUAUAUAUAUAUAUAUAUAUAUAUAUAUAUAUAUAUAUAUAUAUAUAUAUAUCUCCACACUGAAAUCUCAGUUUUGGCUUCAAAAUGGCAAUUUAAAAUCUUAACAACAUACCCAUAGCAAUUAUGAAUGUUACAUUAAAUACAUAAGCUUUGAAAAACCAUAAGAAUAAUUUGAAAAUACUUAAAUAAUAUCAAAAGCUACGGAGAAAUGCAAACUACAUUUUACUGAAACACAAUGCAUAGGCAUAUUAUUAGAAUUUGGAAAAAAGGCAUAAAUUUUAUAUUACAGUAUGUACGUAAGUGAAAGGAGACCUCCAUAAAACACAUGCCAACAAAACAAAUCUCAUGUAUCAGCUGCAUUUUAGUGUCCUACAGAGUUAACUUUAGUUAACUUUAUUUAUUCUUAUAUGCGCCUUGCUUAGUGGUAGAUAUUUUAAAAACAGGUUUAAAAAAAAAAGGUGACUCAGAAGCACACUAGAUAUGGAAGACACAGGGAGGGGUGGUGGUGGUGGGAGAGCAAGAAAGAGAGAGGGAGACAGAGAGGGAGAGGGAGAGAGAAUGAAUCACAUAUUAGGGAGGUGCCUGAGAAAAGGAAAGCUUGAUAGAAGAGAUGAUAUUUCUCUUGGCUUUUGAAGAUGAGCCAGUUGUUCAAGGCUGUGAACGGAAGGGUGCACGUCCUGGACCAGGGUGAAUAACUGCAUAAAGAGGAAGAUGGAAAGCUCUGUUUGGGACUAUGGAUUGUGUGUUGAAACUUCCAGUGUUUGAAGAUCUGCUUCUUUGCCCUUUGAACCCUGAGCAAGGAACCUUUCCAAGCAGUGUGAACUCACUGGCUUCCCCAUAACGCUACAGAGCUCACGCUGCCAUAUAACUGGGAAUCGGAGAGGGCUGCUCCUUUUUGAACGAAGAAAAAAAGAAAAAAAAGAUGUAUCCAGAGCAUCGUCCUCCAAACAAACAAGAGGAGCACAUAUUUGCAAGCUAUAUAGUAAAGUUGUUGCAAUGAAGAUUUUGAUUUUAAUUAAGAAUGGGAUUUGUAGGACAAUUAGUGAGAUGUAAUAUUCUUUGCAAGAAACAGUACCCUUAUUGGAAAUACCACCUAAAAUGGAGUGGGGGCAUUUGGAGCUGCACAGAGACUUAUAUCUAUGGGUUUCUACAGUUAAUGAGAAAGAAAAAUACAAGAAAAAUGUAGGUACCUCACCUGAAAUGCAGGAAUACAAAUACCGUUUGCCUGGUUUUUUUUCCCCUCCUUAAUUUUUCUUUUUAAUUUAAACCAUAGAAAUCUGUGCUGUUGAGAUUUCAACCAGGUAAUCAUCUUAUCAUUAAUACAUUUAUGUUAUUUCUUCACAUUGACUUUAAACCACUGAUCAUUAGGAGUAUACCUCAUCUUUUUUGAUGAUUUUACAAGGACAUAAUAAUAUACUUAAUUGUAAUAAAGGCAAUGAACUCUCCAGUUAUUUUUGGUAUGCUCAGCUGUCCUGACAUUAAAAAGAGGGCUUUUUCUUACAGUAUAGAAAAUAAUUUGUGUAAUUGCUUAAAUGUUGGAAUGACCAUUUCCUUUACAGUACAUAAAUUUUCAUGUGUUAUAAAAACUAACAAUGUAUUUAUUAAUCAAAUGCCUGAUAAUUUCCCAUGUCUAUUCAAUUAAUUUCGUAACAAAAUUUUCAUUUUUCCUUUAUAAGCAAUAAGAUUAAACAUUACCAAGUGAGUUAAGGGAUCUCCUUUCUCUAGCAGAUGGAAAAGAUACUAACAGUGAGUAUGUCACCAGAUAUUAUGCUGUCAAUAAUAAAGGCCAAAUACAUAUAAUCACAUAUAUGUCAUUUUAAGCAGUGUAGUAAGCCCAAAACUCUUCACUAUUUAUUCUAUAGUAUUAAGCAUAUUCUAUCUGCCAGGCAUUACACCAAACAAUGGUAGAGUACAAUAUACAACGAGGAUAUCUUAAUGCAGUUUAUCAUAUGCUGGAAUGACAUACAUGUAAACCACUAUAAUCAGUCACACUGUGUGAAGGGCAGUAGAUACACAAAAAGGUAUAAGAUUUCUUUCAUUGUACAAAUUGAAAGUGCAAAUUCCCCACUAUGGCAGGCAGGCUGGAUAGAAUCUAUGGUAGCUUUUGAAUUCCCACCUGAAAAGCAACAUGGGAAGUAUAUUAGGGUUGAGAAUGAGAUGUAUAGAAUUUAACUUGGGGAAGGGGUAAAAAAGAACACUAAAGGGAACAGAAACAUAUGGAUUAUAUAAGGAAUAUUUAGUGGCCCAUUAUUUGGUGAUGCUAUUUAUAUGGGAUUAGGGCAAGGCAGGUCUGGAAGUUCAGAUUGAGGCCAUAGUGUAGCUGGUGGCCCUUAAGUGCUAUCCUCAACUGCAAUUGAUUGGUGUAGGAAGAGAUGGGGAGCUGGAAAAGGACUUCCAAGGCUACUUGAGGAUUUCAAAUGAGAAGGGAUGAGAGAAUGGGUUUUUUUCUGUGCCAAAGGAAAGGAGAAGAUGCAUGAAACAGAAAAAAAAAAAAAAUAUGUGCUUUGGAAACCAGAUAUGGUGGCUGAGAAGAGGAAAGGAGCCAAUGUGAUCACAAAGGUCUUACACCAGGCUGGCUGGAUCUAUAAAUGGUUCAACCAUGUGAAAUUGCCAACUCAAUACAUCCUUCAAAUAAUAUUUGAAGAAAGGCAGUAGAGAGGGAAGAAAGCUCCAAGGAGAAAAAUGUGGUCUCUGUCUAGAUUCAAGAAACAAAAGGAUGAAGUAGAGUCAGUAAAAUGGUUACAUGAAAGUCUCCUGCAGAGCUAGAAUUCACAUUAAGAAUACUUAAUUUCCUUAGUAUAACUGAAAACAUGGGAGAGUUGUUUUUCCCUCCAGUGUUAGCUUCAAAAUAUAACAGAUUUCAUAUUUUGUAUAACUUUCCAAAACCUAAAAUUCCUGAUUCAUCAUUUUGCUCCUUUACUGUCCUUUAAUUAAAGCCCUCUGUGUGGCAUUUUUAAAAUGAAAUUUCAGUUUAAAAAUAUGUCUUCGUACACUUUACUUCAGAAUACAGUAAAAUAUAAACAUAACACUUCACCAAUUCAAGCACACAACCAACCUACCAGUUACGAUAACUUUGUAGUUAUUAUCAAUUAUCUUCAAUUUCAAAAAAUGGUUUUCCUCAUGCAAUUUUGAAUCAUAUUUUACCUUCGAUUUAAUUCUAUAACUUCAGUGGAAAUUCAAAAGGUGUGUAUUGUCCUUUAAUAGCUGUCCCAUUAUAAGAAAUGCUAAAUUUUAACUAGGCUGUCUUGCUCCUGAUUAAUAAGCUUUGUAAAAUAUCAAUAAUGUUAAAUGGAGCUUCAGUAUAAUCAUUUGGAUAUUUCCUUUAUUCACUCUUUUUUUUAAUUUUAAAAAGUUUUUUUAAGGUUAUUCAUUUUUGAGAGAGAGAGAGAGCAUGAGUCAGGGAGGGGCAGAGAGACAGAGAGAGAGAGAGAGAGAGAGAGAGACAGAAUCUGAAAUAGGCUCCAGGCUCUGAGCUGUCAGCACAGGGCCUGAUGCAGGGCUCAAACCCAUGAACCAUGAGAUCAUGACCUGAGGUGACUGAGCCACCCGGGCACCCCUCCUUUAUUCACUAACUACCUUGUGGAGAAAGUGUCAAUAUCACACUUUCAUAAGGAUUAUGUGGAAGACAGGCUGACCUCAAAAUUCCCAAAGACCACCUGAAAAUGGAGGGUAUGUGUUCUUACAGGGUGACAAUAAAGACAGCUGACCCACAGAGCCACCACAUUCCAACCCAGUACCUUUGUUCAAAAUAAAAGGACCCAUCCUUCGGACUGACCUUUCCCAGCAGACAAGAACUUAGCCAGAAAGAGGUGCAAGAGGUGAAUGUCAGCUCUGUUCACCCCUAUUCAUCUCCUCAACUGGGCUCCUUUGGGCCAUGGGAAAACUGCACAGCUGAGUCUGGGGCUCCAGCCUACCACAUGCCAGGAAUUCUGUUCUAUGCAUUCCAUAUACAUUAUCUCCAUUAAUUCUCAAAAUAGCUCUGAGCUGCAAUAAUUGUGCCCAUUUCUGAGGUUAGCUAACUUGCCUAAGAUCACAGUUUGUGGCAGCAUUCAAGUUGUUGGAUUAGCAUUCUGACCUCAAAGACCUCAUUCUUAUCCACAAUGAAUUAUUGCCAGUACCAUUAUGUUAAACAAAUAUUUAAUUUCGUGCUUUUACAUAACUAUGCUUUGUUAAUUAUUUGGCUAUCAUAUACACAUAUAUUAGUAGUCAUGGGCUGAUUAAGUCCCACAUUUACAACAUAACAGUUUCCUUGGGUGACAACUUCCUAAUAAAUGGAGGGAGGUAUAUCUAAAAGAUAUUCCACCAAGGGUUUCAAAUUUUGUCAGCUGAAAAAAGAAAAACUUUUCCAUUUUGGAAAAAAAAAACUUGUCAUUAACAGAAAAGAAAAACUACUAUUAAUUUUUGGCAAAGAAAUUACAAACUACUAUUAAUGGGACAAAGAAAUUAACUCUAAAAGUAUCUCUCCCUUUAAUGCCCUCUUCAAAAUAAAAGCUUAUUCAGCACACUCAAAUUAGUAAAAAGAAAAAAAUCCCCCAAAUUAAGAUAAACAGUAUAAGUUAUCCACACAGACAAGCGAGCCUAUGCUUAAAAACAAAACAAACAAAAAAUCAAAUUACUCUAAUAAUAUUUUACUUGGUAAUAAAAUAGUUCUUAAAGCAUUUCUCAACUCAAACUAGUUUUGCCAAAUCAAAAAUUUUCUUUUGGGUAGUUAAGAAGGCCAAGAGUAUACCAAAUGAUUUAAAAACCAUUUUCCCUAUUACCAUCCAUUUUCCCAAAGGCAGCAUUGGCAAACAAUUUGGUUGUUAAGGGAGAGAAAACAUUGUACAUUUUUUUUUCAUUGUCAAAAUAAACCUUAGUUAAGAAACUGCUGGUUGCAAAUAAUUUAAAACCUCUCAAGUAUUGGGUAAAAUCAGUAUAUACUGCAGGCUACAUAACCUUAGAAUGUUUUCCCCUUAAGACAUGAUUCAAGAAACAAUGGAGAGUGCGUGCUAAUUCCCCCAAUACCUGCAUAAAUGUCACAAGAACAGAAAAUCCAUUUGCUUGUUUUUAAAGUAAUCUUAAACUCACAGACUUUGGAUUAUAGAAUUUCACAAACAAGAAGUGGAUGUGGGGGGGGGGAGGGAGAGAGGGAGGGGAAAGGAGGAGGAAGAGUAAACUGCCAUACCUUAGGAAAAUUUAGUUUCAAAAUAUAUUAAUGGAGCUAGAGGGCAGGAGAAAACUUCAGAAAUGAUUUCCCAGGGACUGAUGUUUCACCCAUGAAAUCAAACUUUAAAAAUGAUGUUAUUAUUUCAUUUCUAGUGACUAUAGUUCUCUCCAUGGAGUCUGAGGGGCCUAAGAAGCCCAGGAGAGUCAAAACAUUCAGGAAAACAGUUCUGGUUUUGUUUUUUGUUUUUUGUUUUUCCUUUUAAAUUAGUCACUAUAUACAAAUCCACUGAGGGUGGUGAGGAUUUUCAAACUCAGUGAACACAUGACUAUAAAAUACAAAUAUCCAAGGUUUAGAAUGUUAUAUUCAUUCAUUCAAUGAAUCAUUAUUUUUGUCCCAGCAAUAUUUCAAGAACACUUUCAAAGUGCCAAAGACAGGGUUCCAAGAUCUUUAAACAAAAAUGACAUAUAAAUAUCAUGUUUUCACAAAAUUUAGAAUGACCUGUUUUCUUAAUUAUUUAAAUAUAUAUUUAAUUAACUUAGUACCAACGGCUCCUACAUAUGUUUCUACAUAUUGGACACUGCCCAGGCAGCUACAGUACAACCACAUGUUUAAAGAACUACCAAGUGCAUUCUCUCUCUUUCUCUCUUUCUCCCUCCCUCCCCACAAUGUACAUAAUGUAUAUCUAUCAAUAUCUAUAUGUAUAUAUAUGCACAUAUAUAUUAGAUUGUUUUUAUUGCAUAAUCAUUAGCAAUAAUAAUUAUUGUUCCAUAAAUUACCAGAAUAUUAAUCAUAAUUAUGAGUGAAAUGCAUUGAUAAGACAAAAGGUUGUAACGACAAAUUUUCAAAGACAGAUGCUGUGGUUUAAUUGUGAUGCCCUCCUUAUGCACAUAUUUAAACAGUAAUAUGAAGCAAUAAAUAUUCCUUAUCUUUA